Long non-coding RNA from Mustela lutreola (European mink), 17050 nucleotides. RefSeq lists it as uncharacterized. The transcript has 4 exons. The record is from RefSeq and is a predicted model, not a curated record. Lineage: Eukaryota; Metazoa; Chordata; Mammalia; Carnivora; Mustelidae.
GAGAAAGGGGGAAGUAGGCUCCCCUGCUGAGCAGAAAGCCGGAUGCAGGGCUCAAUCCCAGGACCCUAAGACCAUGACCCGAGCUGAAGGCAGAGGCUUAACCCACUGAGCCACCCAGGUGCCCUGACUUCCUCAAUUUAAAUUCAGCAAAACAGCAGAGUAGUUCUAAUGCUCCUUCUGUGAAUCUGUGUGCCAAAUACAAGAGGCAGAGUUACAAUAAUGAAGAGGAAGACAAUGAAAAGGAAAUCGAACAUGAAGGAACAGACUCAGAGACAAGAGAAAAAAACUUGAGAGGACCAAAGAACUUUCUGUGCUUCAGUUUCCACACUGCCUAGAAAGAGCAAGUACCCCAUCUCUCCCUCCACCAAACUGUGACAAUAAGUGAUGUCGAUGCUGAGUGGCUAGAAAUCAGACAAUUCCAAAGAGGCAUCCAGAGACCAUCAGCUUAUGUUGAAGCCUCCACCUUUCCUUUAGUCAAGCCCUUCAAUUCAUUUUGGAGCCAUGGCCCAAGCCAGAAGUCUGGAGAUCUAAGGUGCUAAUCCCAGCUUUCUGGAUGCACUACUUCUUGCUUUCACGUGGAAAAUACCAUAUGGAAUUCAUAUGACCCAUGCAAGGGCAGUUGAGCUUCUUUAAUAUUCACAGAUAUAUCGGCCCCUGGAUUAAAUCUGGGAUUUAAUAGACCAGACACCAAUCCCCUGACAGAGGCUGAAAUUUGCAACCAUUACCCUACUCCAUAGAAGAAUGGGUAUCCCUGGUUCUGUGCAGUGAGGGAGUAUACAAGGACUCGAAAGCUGCUCGCAUACCCAUGCUUAGACUUUGCGGACUUCAGGCUGAAGGGAUGAAAUUGUGCUCUCAGGUCUCUCCCAGACACUUGAGAUAACCAGAACACCAGCAAUGGAACAGCUUCAUCAAAGUUGGGUUUGGUUUGCUGAGUAAUAGCUUGGAAGAAGAAUUUUGUUUGAAUGAGUUUUAAAUUAUGAGGAUUACGUGCAUGGAUGAGAACAUGAGGAGCAAAUGAGUGAGACUGUAAGACGGGGAAAAGCUGGAAACAAGAAAAAUCAAAUCCAUCAACUCAAACACACCCUCGAGUCCCAGUGAAGAGAGCAUGGUACAAUGGAAAACUCACAAAUUGGGCAAUCAGCUGCUUCCAAAUUCCUGGUCAGCCCCUGGUAGCUGUGGGGCCUUAGGCAAGGCACGUGACCCUUCUGAACUUCUACAUCUUCACAAAAAUAUCUUUGAACAAUACCUAACUAGCAAGAAAGAUUAGAGAUGAUCUGUGUGGAAGUGCAUGACACAAUACCCUGUCCACAGGUAUGUUUAAUAAAUGCCCUAUUAUUACCUCUUAGUCAUCAUUCGCUAUUGUAAUCCCCUGGAACCAAUGUGAAACAGAUCCUUAAGAAAUUAAAACCAACCGACUGUCCAGCCAAAAUAGAAGCAGAUACUGAGCUAGAAACACACACUUGACAAGAAAAAAAAAUUUUUUUUUGUAGCCAUAGCAAGAUCAAGCAAGGAAAAAAAAAAAAAUAAAAGAUAAUGUUGGAAUAUUAUGGAAAAAUAUUUUGAUAUACCCAGAAGGAAUAAGUUUUGGUGGACUUCAUAGCUAAGUAUCAGGAAACCAGAGUCCACCAGCUACAUCAUAUCACUCUUGGUAAGUGCAGCCAUGUUCCAAAGCAGAAGUGUCCAGAGGAAUCACAGAUAAAGAAAGCCGGGCUACCAAAUUAAAAUUACAGACAUCCAAUGAAGAAAUUCGUUAUGUACUGGAUAUAAUAGCAGCAGAUGACACCCUUUCUAUGGAGAAGAUUAAUAUGCUGACUUGAGAGGUGGGAUUCUGGCCACUGGAAAGGGGUGUCCAAGCGGAGCCAGCGAAGUUCUCCUCCUCCCAGAGUUCCUCCAUGAUGGCCCAUGGUACAACAGUGGUCAAGAGCAGAAGGACGGCACUCAGAGACUGACUUGAAGACCAGGAAAAGAAGUAAAACUGCAACAACUGGGACCCACAACAUUCCUUAAGAAUUUCUCUGCAAAAGUUUCACUUCUGCAGGGACUGAAGAGUGGGAUCACUUCAAGAAAGACACCCUGUUCUUGGGUCCUAGAUGCCAGAUUCUGGACAGCAGCAUUAUCCUACAACACACAGGAAAACCAGAGUAGAAACCAUCAGGUGUAGAAUCACUUAAAGUACUAAUAUCAUGUCCUAAAUCCUGCGAAAUAAGAUAAAUAUAUCGUAUGAACCAAUAAUACAAGGCCUCCCUGUGUUCGCAGAACAGCUCUACUGUAUUCAGUCUACAAGUGUAUAUUCUAGCUAUAAGGAGUUUUGGACAUGUAACGGACAGUAAUUAUCUUCUUAGAAUUCAGUAGUUUUUGGAGGCAGUGCUACAAAUGGCCUAGCUCUCAUAACACAAACCAAACAAACAUGAACUCUAAGCCGAGAACUUCAUUCAGCUGCCUUCUGAUUCUGGUCACAUAUGCUAAAUUAAACAAGGAAGCCAUUAGACUGAGGUGACUUUAAUCCUUUAGUCCCCUAGUGAGCGAACCCAUACCUAAUCCUGUAAAUGCCUCAAGGUUAAGAACCUGAAACCUAAGGACAACUACUCACAACAAACAGCCAACUAGGCCUCCCAAGCAAGGCAACCGCUUACGCUACAGCCGAAUCCAAUCAUUCCUUCUCUUGCUUCCCAGUCUUCCCUUUGAAAGUCUUUCCUCUGACUCCUAACUACUCUAGCGAGUCUCUGCCCAAUUAGAAACCCUGUUUACUCAAGCUAGCAAUUUAAUAUGCCUCAGUUUACCUUUUAGCACAUUCAAACUCAGUCCUGAAUACCUUAUCUCCUAUCUUACGGUCAUGUCCUCUGACUUUUAAAAAGGGAAAUGUCUUAGAAACCAUCUGGCCCACCCCACCCACUCUCACCCUGUGACCAUUUAAAAUAAGGGAACCAAAACUCAGGGAGGCUGAGGGAUGCCCAAGAUCAUGAUUUUAAUUUUAUCCUUCCUUCUGUGAAUGCUAAACAAAUCAUUUUAAUAAGACUUAACAGUAUCCACAUAGAUCACUGCUCCCAGCACAUAUGAGUGAACAAUGCUACCCUGUCGUGAUUGACAGAAAAAGUGAAAUGAAAGUUAAAUGACAUGUCAUGCUUUCUCACAUGAGAAACCUACUUUGUGGAAAGUAGCCACAAACAAAUAAUGUGGAUGUUCAUACCAGACCAGGGAUAAUUUAGAAACAAAAAGUAUGUCCAGUUACAUGAAGCUUAUAGUGAUAGCCCUCCAAGUAAUUCACAGAGAAGCAUUUUUUCUUUUUUUUAGAUUUAUUUAUUAUUUAUUUGACAGAGAGAGAUCACAAGCAGGCAGAGAGGCAGGCAGAGAGAGAGAGAGGGAAGCAGGCUACCUGCUGAGCGGAGAGCCCGAUGUAGGACUUGAUCCCAGGACCCCGAGAUCAUGACCUGAGCCGAAGGCAGCAGCUUAACCCACUGAGCCACCCAGGCACCCCACAAAGAAGCAUUUUUUAAAUUAUCAUUUUUAUAGAGCUGUAUUUUUUAAAUAACUUUAAAAAUAUUUCACCAAAAUGAUUAUUUCACAAAAUUUCUGAAAGUCUGAAAAUUGAGCAGAGCUUCCUCUAAUUCCCCUUCUCCCUCUCUGAGCCACCACCAUCAGUCCGCACUCGACUCUGGCUCCACUGGCUCGGCAUGAGUCUGCAAAACCCACCAUUUUGGUGCUCACCCUGUUGGCCUCUGGACAGAAUCACUCUGGUCUGUUCUUAGGUCAUUUUGCCACAAACAAGUACGUCCCUGUCUGAAGCUCACUGGUCCUUUUGUGUGCCUUUUGUGUGCCUAAGACCUACUUUCACAUCCUCUAUAUGCCAACAGCAAAUGGACUCCACAUUGCAACCUAAACCCUACCCAAACCCAUAAAAAUAAGUGGCCAUCCAAGCCCCUACAAGCAUCAAUUUAUUAAAUGGGUGCACGAAACCAACAUGAGAAUAAAUCAGCCUGCGUGCUGUCAGUGAACUCAGCUUUCCAUAUAAAAUUCUUCACACACUGGCCAAAUGUAAGCCCACUCCUAGCCCCCACCAACGUGUAUAUUUAAAAUCAUCCCACAGAGGACCUCUUCUUCCAUACAAUGCACCUCAGAGAUUUGGAUGAUUCACCCACAGCCUGUACGAUCCUGGAGAUCAGCUGAUAGAAUAGCAAUGGUGGGCACUGAGGGGCCAAUGAAAUGCAGAAACUAUAGGACGCAGGGUAUAGUAUUAUUUAUCAGUAACAAGUAAGUCACAUUAUCUCAAUCUGACACUCAUCUAAGAAUUCUAUGAAGUUGUCUGGUUCUGGAGGGGGCGGGAAAUCUCAAAAGAAAAAAAAAUGAGAGAGAGUAAGAACUAUAGGAAAAUGAGAAAUGUUUUGUUAUCAUGGAAGUCGGGAAAAAUUUUUCCUAUACUUAGUGAAGGAGAGUACCCACCAAUACAAAAAAAAAAUUAUGUGAGGUGAAAGGCAAAUUCAACUAAGUCCAAAUGUUACACUAUAUUCAAGGUAUCCAAUAAACUCUAAUUUUUAAAUACUAACAUAGGUCUACAAUUUUUAAAAGAGAAAAUCAGCCUCUCCUUGCCAUUAUGAAAUGACUAUUAAAUGCACCUCAGAGAUCUGGAUGAUUCACCCACAGCCUGAACGAUCCUGGAGAUCAGCUGAUAGAAUAGCAAUGGUGGACUACCUAAGGGACACCUGGCUGGCUCAGUUGGUAGAGAUGCAACUCUUGAUCUUAGGGUUGUGAGUUCCAAGUCCCAGGCUGGAAAUAAAAAUUACUUCAAAAUUUUAAAAAAAAAUUAAUAUUUUAUUUAUUUAUUUGCGAGAGAGAGAGAGAGAUUGAGAACACAAGGAGGGAGAGGAAGAAGCAGGCUCCCCCCUGAGUAGAGAGCCUGAGGUGGGGCUCAAUCCCAGGACCCCAAGAUCAUGACCUGAGCCAAGGACAGAUGCUUAACCAACUGAGUCACCCAUGUGCCCCCAAAAGUAAAAAAUAAAAAUCUUUUAAAAGUUUAAAAAAUAGGCACUUGUAGGUUGCCGAAUUAGGACCCUGCUCCCAGAAUCUUCCCCACAUGUGUUGGGUCCUGCCCUGAAUUCAGCCCCAUGAGUACAGCCACACAAAACAUCAAUCCCAACUCUUCUGUUGUUCCCUCCUUACCAUCACAAAUUGCCCCAACCCGUGCUUGCCAUUUCUGUCUCUUGCUUCUCCUAUUUCAAAAGCAGAAAGGUCUCUUUCCUUUCCAAACUGCUUCUUCCUAAGCUCCCACACAUAAUUUUGGUUGUAUCAGUCCCUUGCCUCUUCAGUCUACCAUUCUGUACCUAAAUACUCCCGUCUGAAUAUCACCAAAUGGUGCUUGCGUCUCCCAUUACCCUAACACUCCCAUUUACUCCUCCGGAGCACCAUGCUCUAGCAGCCUCUUUUCUGUUCUGCACAUCAUCGCCAAACUUUCAAAUGAACAGUGGGAUCCUCGAUGUGGCAGGCUUGGGUCUCACUGGCCUUGGACUCCUCACCACGCUAGCACAGUAAUGUCCCUUGAUAUAUUUGAGGACCAGAUGACUGAGGCCAAUCGUCUGUUUGUAGUGGUGAUAACGAUCACACCAUAGCUUCGCACCACCUGCAAUUGAGUCUAAUCAUAGGAGAAAGUGAGGUGGACUUGUCUUGCAGGCUGAGACAAUCUUGGAAUUAGACUGAUAUAUUCGUUGCAAGGGAGUUACAGGUGCAACACUGCCCAUUUAAGCGUGACAAUGAUUCACGUCAAAUGAACUUUCACUGCUAUUUCCAAUCCUCCUUCCAAUCUGAUAUUACAGCUACUGCUUAGUCACCAGGACAGCAAGCUCCUUUGCGUCAAAACCACCCUCCUCAAAAAUACCCCUGCGCUUCCACCCCUGGUACUCUAUCCAUUCUAUCACAUUACACUUUCCUCCACCAAGAUUCAGCUCUAGCAUCCGAUCCACAAUGCUCUCUGGCGUACAAAGCUUCAUUCCAUUCUCCUUCAAAAUAACUGUGGCAUGUUUUCAAUGGAAACCCGAAUACAUCACACAUGGUUAAAAAUAAUUCAAGCAAACAAAAGUUCUGAAUGAAGUUCUGAAUGAAACAUCUCCUUCACAAGACCAUAGUUCCUUGGCUGAGGAGCUUCUCAGUCUCCUAAAGGGCAGCCAUUACAUCAUUUUUUGAAAUACCCUUCCAGAAGUUUUCCCUCUCCUGGAAAUACACACAAAAUGCAGAAUAACUUUUUUAGAGGAACAGAAGAACACAAUGGACACUCUUGUACAACUUGAUUUUUGUUCUUAGCACAUUCAGGAACUUGUAAAUCUAAGUUAAUACAUGCGAAGCCCUUAGAACGGUUCCUGGCCCACAGCAAGGGCUAAGUAACAUUCAGGUGGAGUGUAUCAGAGGCCAUCCCAGCACUCAAGAGUUUCUACCAAUUAGACCCCAGAAGCAUACAAAUAAAGGCUGGGGGUUUCACUGGACAAGAGCUCCGGGGUGCUCUUCCCCCCCUCACAUCCAGAGGGCAUGUGAGGCAGAGGAUGUGAGGCAGACUCCCUGCAGACUUGGCUAUUACCUCUCCCCUUUGUGUGGCAUUUGGGGGAAAAGGCCACCCCGAGCUCACACUUCCGAACUAAAAUCACACCUCCCUCCCUCUAAUCCCCAAGUCUAAACAAUACGCCAAGGAGUAAAAACAAAACACGUUCUUGCACUUUGCCUUGAUGACAGGGCAAGAAGGAUACAUUCGGCCAGAUACGAUUAGCUUUGUGGCAUCAGCUCCCUGAACGUUCUGCCCGAGCUGGCUCAGCUCUGCACUAGGUCCCAGAAUGUUUCUAGAAGGUAAGCUGCAGUAACCUUGCCUCAGGCUCCGGUCCCAACCCUUCCUGUGUCCCCUAAUAAGAGCAGAACACACAGGAGGUGUGAAAUCAGAUGUGACUCCAGCGAGGACAAGGCCACGUGUUCCGCUAGCUUUGGGAGAUGACCGCAGAGUCCCUGUCAGUCCUCACGAGCAGUUUUCAGGUCAGAGAACUUGGGAAGCUCUGACGAAGGCGCCAGUUUUCGCCAUUUUCAGCUCCCUCACCUCAGGCCCGCAGCACUUCGGGCUCAUUUGCAUACCUGAUGAGCCUUUCACUGCCCAGGAUCUUUCCGCAGCCUACCCAGAAUGCACCUUGCCAGCCUGGGCACUGGGUGGGGGAGGGGCAGGGGCCAUGGGAGCUGGACUGGCAAGAGCUCUGUGAAUUUUGGCGUUUGGGGCAAGGGUGGAAUUUGGGAGAGCUUGUGACUGCAAUUAAAGGGAAGUUGGCAACUUAAACACUGCCCCUUAACAGUUAGUUGAGGGUCCAUUAAGUUUAAGCCCCCACCCCACCCCGCCCAGACUUCUUUGCAGGUACCUAUACCCCUGUGGGCUCGCGGACACAUGUGCACACAUUAACAGGAACCACUCAGCAACCGAAAAGAGGAGAAGCAGAAAGAGAAGGAAAAACAGUGGCAUCCUGAGGCUCACAGGGGAAGAAACAUGAGAGGCUUGACCCCUUCAUGUUACUUUACUGAGAGGCUUAUGUGGGGUGAGGGACUGGGUCAAAACAGGGUCUGUCUUAGACACCUGUUCUUGCCACCGACUCUCCCAAACGUUUCCCAAAGCCUUAGAGCGCCCGAUACACGUACACACAUAAGUGCACAUACAUAGGGAAAAUGAGCCUUCUUUUUUAACAGCUGCAGCUUCUUAACGGAAUGGACUUUCCACUGAGCCUGUUAUAUAAAUAACCCACAGCCUCUGUCAAAGAGAAUAUUAAAAAUAUUGAAGUUGAAUAAAUAGGGCAUAAUAAAUAAUUACAUAAAUAAUAAAUAAAUAGGGCAUAGUUUACCUAAAGUGGCACUUGGCCUGGCCACCUGGGUCAAUAGAGGUUCAGGGGCUACUGAGUGACCUCAAUUGUUCUGGACCAAAACAAAGAGAAACUUUUCUGAGCAAAAUAAUAAUCAGGUCAGCCUCCUAGAGCCUUAGGAGUGAACACAAAACCAAGGGUCAAAAGGACAGGACAGUGUCAGACCAACCUCAAGAGGAAGGCCCAGAAUGCACUGUGACAGUGUGUCAAGGCUGGAAUGUAGGCUGAGCAUUGUGCUGAAGGCAAACUGACCUUGUCCCCUGUGCACAGAUGUGAGAGAAAGAGGAGUGGGAUGUAAGUUUAGGGAAGGGAUCAGACACUCUCCAGGGAAGGAUGGAUGACAACUCCGCGCAGCUGUCUGGAAAGUUCAGGGCUGUUGAGCUGUUCCAGUGACUUUAGGGAAUUAAGAUGUUUGGAGUAGGAGUCCCAGACAAAAGUCUGAAUUUAGUCUGGCUUCCAGUUGCUCGGACCAAAAACCUUCGUGUCAUUCUUGACACACAUCUGCUCCAUUCCCAACACUCCCGCCAACAUCCAGUCUAUUAGGAAAUUCUAUCAGCCUUAUUUUCUCAAUAUAUCCAUUUCUGCCCAUUUCCCACCACGUCUGUGCUAUCUAUCACCCUGGUCCAAGUCAUUAUUAUUGCUCACCUUGAUUACUGAAAUAACUUCCCUACGGUUUUUGUUUCUAUCCUUGCUCACCUAUAUAGUCCACACAGCAGCCAGAGCGAUAAUUUGGUAAGUGAUAAAUUACUAAAUUCUCCAACUGAAACUAAUACUACACUGUAUGCUGACUAACUGGAAUUUAAAUAAAAACUUGGAAUUAAGGGGGGGGGUUGCAUGAUGUGAUAGGCAUUAGAUGAUAUUCACAACUAACAAAUCAUUGAACACUACACCAAAAGUAUGUAAAUGAUGUACUACACGUUGGCUAAUCGAAUUUCAGCAAAUAAAUAAAUAAAUAAAAACUUGUAGGAAGAAAAAUAAAUAUUUAUUUGAGCAGCAUAAAUAAACAAAUAAAUAAAAUGCAAGUCAACUUCUCUGCUGAAAAUCCUGUGAUAGCUUCCCUUCUCACUUAGAGGAAAACCAAAGUCCUUCCACUGCUUUACAAGGACCUCUAGGGAGUGGACCCAUGGCCACGAGGCCAUCACCUCCACCUCCUUACAGCCUCACUCAGUGCAGCCACACUGGCCUCCUCAUCCACCUGGAACUGAGCAGGACCGCUCCUGCCUCAGGGACCUGCUCAAAUGCAGUUCCCUCUGCCUGGAAAUGUCCUCCCCAGAUAUACUCAUGAUUCAUCCCUUCAGCUCCUUCAGGCUUUUUUUUUUUUUUUCCAAAUAUCGACUUCUCAUAAAGCUCUACCCCUUAAACUGUUCUAUUUCUUUUGUGCAUACAAAUUCCUCUUAAAGUGUUCUAUUUCUUUUCAUAUAAUUUAUCACUUUCUAAUGUUAUAAUAAGCACAUUUUCAUAUAUUGAACAUAUUUAUUACACAUUACAUAUUUAUUACACUACCUGUCUGUCUUUCCCCACACAAAAAUGCAAAGUUCCGUGAACACAGGUAGUUUUACAUAAUUUGUUAACUCAUGAAUUCUUUGAGCCUACUAGAUGGUCAAGAUAUAGAUGAUUCUCAACACAAAUCUUCUAAAUAAACAAAUACAGUCAUUUAGGUCAAAAGCCACUGAAUGGCUCCUUUGCCAGACCAGGAGCUCCUCUAUAAAAAGAAAUGUGGCAUCCAUCCAUUCACGCAUGUGAUUAGUAUUUAUUGCGCACCUAAUCUAUACCAAGCACUAUGCUAGAGAGUCUAAAAUACAAUGGUGAACAAAACAUGUCCAACUUCUUGCCUUCAUGGAACUUACAAAUUAGUGCCUAGAGACAGAUACUCAACACAUAACUGCACAAAUGAGAUCAUUACUACCAACGUAGUGUACCAUUAAAAUAGUCCAGGAAAAACUUUAUGUUUUGUACUGGGUUGGUGGUAGAGGAGGUGGAAAAAGCUAAGCAGAUUAAAGAUUAUUUAUUAAAGAAAAUGUAAUGGGAGAUAUAAAUGUAUUAGGUGGGGUUGGGGAGAAUAUAUAACAAAGGUAAGUCCCAAAGCUCUGGUUUAAGUAACUGAGUGGAUGAAAGUGCCCUUUGCUAGAGUAGUGGAGUCAGCUAAAUAAUGGUCCACCAAAGAUAUACAUGUUCUAAUCUCUGAAAUUUGUAAAUGCUAUCUUAUCUGGAAAAAAAAGACAUUUGCAGGUAUGAUUAAUUUAAGGAUCUUAGGAACAGGAAACUAUUCUGGAUUAUCUGGCUGGGCCCUACGUGCACUCACAUGUAAUCACAUGUAUCCUUAUAACACAUGUAUUCUUAUAAAAGGGAGAUCAGAAGAUAUGCGCGCGCGCGCACACACACACACACACACACACACACACACAAGGCGAUAUGAAGAUGGAACCAAGAGAAAUUUGAAGAUGCUGGCAUUGAAGAUGGGAGUGAUGGGAUCACAAGCCUACUAUGAUGAUUAAUUCUAUGUGUCCACUUAACUGGGCCACAGGAUGUCCACACAUUUGGUCACACACCAUUGUGGUUGUGUCUGUGAGAGUGUUUCUGGAUAAGAUUAACAUUUGAAUUGCAAGGCUGAGUAAAACAGACUGCUUCCCUAAUGUGGGUAAGCCUCAGCCAAUCAACUGAAGACCUGAAGAGAACAAAAAUGCUUAGUUAGAGGGAAUUCCUCCAGCCUGACUGAUUGAACUAAGACAUUUGUCUUUUCCUGCCCUCAUACUGGAGCUGCCAUGCCACCACUGGUCCUCCUCAGUCUCUAGUUUGCAGAUCUUGUAACUUCUCACCCUCCAUAGUUGUGUAUGCCAGUUCCUUGCAAAAAAAAAAACACACAUACACACACUAUUGAUUUCAGUUCUCUGAAAAACCCUAAUUAAUACACCAAGGAAUGCUGGAAGCCAUCAGAAACUGGAAGGAUCGAGAAACAGAUUCACCUUGAUUUCAGCUCAGUGAAACUGAUUUUAGAUUUCUGGCCUCCGGGACUCUAAGACUAUAAAUGGAUACUACAUUAAGCCAAUCUGAUUGCAGUCAGUUGUUACAAAAGUCACAGGACACUGACGAAAUGGGAAUCACUAUAAGAGGAGAUGUGGGGCAGGAGGGCAUCAGGAUUAGGUUUGGAACAUGAAAUCUGGGAUGCCUAUCACACACCUAGGGGAGAGGCAGGUCAAAUCAAGAUUUGGAAUGCAAGUAUGGAACUGAUGGAACGGUCUGAGCAGGGGUAUAAACCCCGGAGCCCACAGACUGGAAAGCAUAAGAAGCAGAGUAAAAGGAAGGACAGCUGAGUGCCACAUCCUGAAGCAGUCUCAACAGUGAGGGGUCGGGAAAGAGGAUAGCUUGAGAAAGAAGCAAGAGAGCAUGGGGUCUUGGAGGCCAACAGAGGUGAGAGUUUUUGAAUUACAUGGUCCUCAGCUCUGGAGCAGAACCCAGUGUGGAGGAGAUUUAAGAGUGAAUGGUCGAUGAGGCAGGAACAGCCUGUGUGGAAAAUUUAUCCUUAAAGUAUGUUUGGUUUGGAAAGUAAAUAAAGAGAGCAGAGAGUUGCCAGGAAUUUGGGGCUCUGGGAAGAUUUUUUUUUUGGGGGGGGGGGGGUCCUUAUUUUAAAUAGGAGAGUUUAGGGCAUCAGGGCAUUGUGCUUGGAAAAUUACCUGAGAGAAUAGAAACAAUUGGAAAUGCAAAUGAAGGUGAGGUUGCUGGCUGAAGCCUGAGAAGGCUGAAAGGGGAAGCACACACAGAGAGCAGGUCUUAAUCUGGGCUGUCAUCUAUGAUUUCCUGGGGAUAAUUUUAAAAUCUUACUGCCUAGCCUGCACCCAAGACAAAUGGCAUCAGAUUUCCUGAGUUAGGACCCAGACAUCAGUUGCUGUGCAUGCUUCCCAGGUGAUUCCAAGAAGUGGACCAGGGGCUUCAGAGCACACCCAGAAAUCAAGGCCUUGAGUCCAAGGAGCAUCAGGCACAGGUUGGAGGUUUGCUGGGUGUAAGUGAGGGAGUUGCCAACUUCACCGUUAUAUUUUCAAAAUUCAAGACAAGGUCAUGUGCUAAGUAUGUCCUGAGGAUAUAAUGGAAUAAGGGAAGACUGAGAGAGAAAGAAAAGGAAAAUAAGAUGACUUGGUUCAUACUGAGAAUGGAAAAGGGAAGAUGACCUCUAAUUGGCGAAACGUGGCAAGAGCGCUGAAAAGAUGACCUGUAAUUGGGGAAAUGUGGCAAGAGCGCUGCUAUAACUUACAGCUAUACCAUCCGUCCAUCCAUCCGUCCAUCCAUCCGUCCAUCCGUCCAUCCAUCCAUCAUUUGUCGGAAAGACACCAAACUAGGCAGUAAGGAUAAAACAUAAGCAAGACAAUGUCCUCACAGAUUUCACAAUUCAGUGAGAAAGUAGACAUAUACGUAAAGAGAAGAUUCAGGAGCUUCACUCCGUCAAAGGGAUAGUGGGGACCAUAACCCUUAUGGGGACAGGAGGCAUCUCCUCCCAUCACAGUACAUGGCACACAGGAGGCCCUCAGCCAUGUUCAUUGUACUCCCAGAACUUGACUGUUGUGGGGAAAGGGAGGGCAUAAAAUUGACAUGAAAUGACAAUUCAGCUUUUAUUCUCCAGACGUGACAAAAGCAGCUGCAAAAUUUAAUGACCUUACCAGCAGCAUAGUGUCACGUGGCAUCUGCAAACAGGAGAAAGUCUCAGAGCUCAGAAGGGGUGCCAAUGCAGAAGUCAAUGUGGAAUUUUCUACAUGGUAAUUUCCAUGUGAAAUUCAGAAAGUGGUCACUAGGUGGCAGGAUUAACAUUUGCAAAAUAACUUGCCAAGUGUAGGAACUAAUCAGAUACCAGCUGGUGCCCAAAACCAAACUUCCUGGUCCGCCCAGGGAGUUUCCUGUGCCAGUGUGACCAGCAAGGAGAAGAACACUAUAAACUGGUUGUUUUGGGUCACUGUUUAAUGUAAACUGAUUAGCCUAUGGUUAUUUAGUCUCCUGUCUCUUUGGCCUCUAAAACUAUGUUGUCGGAUAAAGUAGACACUAGUCACAUGGACCUCUUUGAGCACCUGAAAUGUGACUAGUGCAAAUGAGAAACUAAUACUUAAUUGUAUUUUCUUUAAUUCAUGUAAAUAUAAAAGCUGAUAUUCUAUUUCAAUUAUUGGAAAAACUCUCAAUUAUGCUUGAAACAACUUGAGUAUGUCAAUCCCAAGUUGAAUCCUUUUUAACCAUAAAUUUUCUGAAAUCUAAAUACAGACCAAGAAUUUCCAAACAAAAUGUACUAUGAAAUUGAGAUCUGGUAUAAGGGUAAAAUAUACAUCAUGAAAAAUAAAAGGUAAAUAUCUCAUAAAUAUUUUACACUGACUGCAAUGAUUUUUACAUUGCAUGGAAUUAAAUAUAAAAUUUUGAUAUAUGAGAUGAAAAUGCAUUACCAAAACCAACUUCACAUAGUAUUUAUUUUUAUUGUAGGUGUCUUAGCCUGCUGUAACAGAAUACCAUCAACUAACUAGUUUGUUUAAACAACAUCUACUUCUCACAGCUCUGGAGGCUGAAAGUCUAAAAUCAGGGAGUGACGGAUUCAGUGUCUGGUGAGGAUCCUCUUCCUAGUUGGAGACAGCUACCUUCUUACUCUAUUUUCACUUGGUGCAGAGAGAGAUCAUCUCUCUUGUGUCCCUUAAAAGGGCACAAAUCACAUCACAGUCUCCACCCUCACGAUCUAAUGACUUCUCCAAAGCUCUACCUACAAAUGCUAUCAAAUUGGAAAUACAGUCUUUAAUACAUGAAUUUUGAAGAGACAUAAACAUGCAGUCUAUAACAGUGGGCUACAAGAAAAUUAAAAAUUACUUAGGUGGUUCCCAUUGUUUCUCAGAAGGAUGUGUCAAGUUUCCUAUGCAAUAGAGCUUUUGUUAAUGUAACAUGAGGGACUAGAGAACAUAGGUCAGGAAACGGCUAAGGAAUGAGGUUGAGCUGGGUGGGGGGCUCCACAGAGCAGUGGGCUGGCAUUCCCCUACUUUGACCCACUCUUAAAGCAUGACACCCUGACCAAAUGGGUUUUUUGUUUUGCUUUGUUUUGUUUUUGUUUUUGUUUUUGUUUUUGUUUUUUCAUUUCUAGCCCAAAGAGACAGAAGAUCCAAGUCCUGGGGAGACAAGGUGGCUGGGAAGGGUCUUUCAAAAUUAACCCAGAGCUUUUUCUGUAUACAGUCCCCCACUUCGAAAGCUAGACCCCUCUCUGUUCUCAGGGCACUGGUCUCAGCUCAGAUACUGUCCUAAGAGAGGCUUUUCAAAAGGGGUAGGGGGAGCAGAGAAGAGAGUUCGAAGGUUUCUUCAAAGCAUUGGGAAAAGCUGGUUGUUCUGAUGGUUUUUUUCUCUUCUUCAAACUUCCUUGUCACCUUCCCUCUCCUGUUUUAUCUCUAGUGUCAAACUCCUUAGGUUCAAACCCUACACAUCCCUGAAUGACUGAACAAGUUAUUGAGUUUCCUUGUGUUUCUUUACCCAGAAAAGACUACUCAGAGUGUACUCAUAAAGAUUAAAUGAAAAAAUAUCUGUGAAGUACUUAAAACAGUACCUGGGCAUAAUAAACACUAUGCAGUAGAUAUUAUUAUUUUCUCAUAACUUUUUUUUUCAACUUCCUCAUGAAGGUGAUAAAGAGUUGGCAUUCUAAGUCACAAUUUAAAAAAAAAAAAACUAACUAAAAAGCAAAAAUACUUCCAAUCCCAAUUUUGCAGCUGAGAGUAUAAAGAAAAAAAAUAACAGGUCAACAAAAAGUACAUCUAUUCUGCAACUGUGAACCAUGGUCAGGCUGGUAGAUUUCUAGGUAGAAUAGGCCACCUCCUGCCCUGGGAAGAACCCAGAUCCUCAGCUAUCCAGAUUUCUGCUCCAUCUCCUGCAGAAAAAACAGCCAUCAGCUUGUGCAGAGCAACCUGUCACAGGUCUUAAUGGCGGUGGUAGCUCAGUCAUUUGUAUUAGCACAUUUUGACAUGACAGCUGACUUCUCCAGACACUACAAAACUGUACUGCCCCUGCUCAGGCUCUACACCUUCUCAGAAAAACCACAGCUUGGGAUAGCUCUAAGACAAUUCCAGCACUGACUCUGACAUUAUUGGCUCAUACGAAGCAAACACUGUCAUUUGUUUGGUUUAUUUCUGGCUCCCGAAUACUUACCUUGCAUACGUUUCAAAUCUGUAAGUCAGCCUCACUUUACACAGCAGAUAUGGGCAUAGUUAAAUUUUGAAAAAUCAGGUCAUCCAAAAAUGCACUAGAUUUGGCUACAGUUUAAAGGAGGGUGUCCUGCAGUCACAGAUAAACUGAGUCCUUUGUUAAAGGACUAAUUUCAUGAGUGUAACAAAUUUCAAAGUGUUACAAACGGUAGAUUUUUUUAAAAAUGAAUUAAACUAUAUUUAGAAAGUGAAAAGGAAGUUUUAGAAUUUCCUCUUUCUCCUUCCCCUUUUUUUUUUUUUAAUAGACCUUCAAUGCGAGGGAACUGCAUUCCAAAGAGGAAGACUAUGUUAGAACUGAAGCUAUAAUCACAAUUUUUCCCGUUCUCAGCCACUGUUGAUUGCAUCUCCAUGUAAAGAUUUUUUUUUUUUCCUCUAACCUUGUUGUUUAUUUAUGGCUGAUCUUAUCACAAUCUAUGUUUAUCUAGAAAUACAAAAUGGAUUUUCUCUCUCCUGUUGAAAAUCCCAAGACCAGUUCUUGGCUUCCUGUUUUCUUCUCCACAGGUUCCAGGUGCUUGCAUCUUAUUUUAAAAAGGAAAAGCCUAGGGGCACCUGGGUAGCUCAGUGGGUUAAAGCCUCUGCCUUCAGCUCGGGUCAUGAUCCCAGGGUCCUGGGAUCGAGCCCCACAUCAGGCUCUCUGCUGGGCAGGGAGCCUGUUUCCUCCUCUCUCUCUCUCUGCCUGCCUCUCUGCCUACUUGUGAUCUCUGUCUGUCAAAUAAAGUAAAUAAAAUCUUUAAAAAAGGGAAAAAAAAGAAAAGCCUAAAAAAAAGGAAAAGCCUAAAGCUAAAUGGGUACCAUCUUGGAGGUAAACUGCCUAUCGUGUUGGUCAAUGUCGGGGCUGGGGGACAGGGUACAUCUCAGGUAUUUGGGGCCCUCUACUCCUGACUUCCCUCCAGCCAGGCACAAGCCCCUGGCCAGGCUCAGCAGACCACUGGGUCCCAGCCCUGGAAAUGGAGGCAGCUCAAGCCUUUUCCUUUGUCACCAUGCUGGCUACUGACUUGACCGGGCAUCUGGGCAACCCCACAGUGUCUUGGAAGAAUGCGGACCUAUGGAGAGAAAACACAUGGGUGCUGCUUGGGCCUUCCAGAGACAAAGACCAGAAAAAAAAUAUUCUGAAGAGCAAGGGAUACAUGGGGUGCUAGGAUGAUGAAAAGCCGUCACUGAAGUCGAGGCUCAAAAGUAGAAAGAAGUAUAAAAAUCCAAGAGGAAGAAAAGUGUGAGAGAAAGAUAAUUGAAACAAGAACUGAACACCAACAAAACAGACAAACUUUACGAGAAAAAGGGUUUCAGAAAGGAAAUACAAGAGAAGUGGAGUGGGAGCCAGGCGUGGAAGUAAGGGCUCCUGUACGGGGACGUUAAGGAAAAGGACCAAGAGGCCUUUCCCUGAGCAGAGUCCAGGGGAACUGCAGGGCUCCGACUCAUUUACUCUCUGUACUGAUGAAUUCCUGCGAUUGUGUUUGGUUUUGUCUGGUUUUGUAGGUCACCGCCCCUGGUAACUUGGUACAAACUUAAAAACAUGAUUAAUUGGGAAUGCAAGCUGGUGCAACCUCUCUGGAAAACAACAUGGAGGUUCCUCAAAAUGUUGAAAAUAGAACUGCCCUAUGACCCAGCAAUAGCACUACUGGGUAUUAACCCUAAAGAUACAAACGUAGUGAUCUGAAGGGGCACAUGUACCUGAAUGUUUAUAGCAGCAAUGUCCACAAUAGCCAAACUAUGGAAAGAACCUAGAUGUCCAUCAACAGAUGAAUGGAUCAAGAAGAUGUGGUAUAUAUACACAAUGGAAUACUGUGCAGCCAUCAAAAGAAAUGAAAUCUUGCCAUUUGCGACGACGUGGAUGGAACUAGAGCGUAUCAUGCUUAGCGAAAUAAGUCAAGCGGAGAAAGACAACUAUCAUAUGAUCUCCCUGAUAUGAGGAAGUGGUGAUGCAACAUGGGGGCUUAAGUGGGUAGGAGAUGAAUCAAUGAAACAAGAUGGGAUUGGGAGGGAGAC